GGCGCACGGGUGCGUAACGCGUAUGCAACCUACCUAUUACAGGGGGAUAGCCCGGGGAAACUCGGAUUAAUACCCCAUAGUAUAUUGAUUUCGCAUGGGAUUAAUAUUAAAGAUUUAUCGGUAAUAGAUGGGCAUGCGUAGGAUUAGCUAGUUGGUAAGGUAAAGGCUUACCAAGGCGACGAUCCUUAGGGGUUCUGAGAGGAAGGUCCCCCACACUGGUACUGAGAUACGGACCAGACUCCUACGGGAGGCAGCAGUAGGGAAUAUUGGGCAAUGGACGAGAGUCUGACCCAGCCAUGCCGCGUGCAGGAAGACGGCGUUAUGCGUUGUAAACUGCUUUUAUACGGGAAGAAAAGGCCCAUGCGUGGGACAUUGCCGGUACCGUAUGAAUAAGCACCGGCUAACUCCGUGCCAGCAGCCGCGGUAAUACGGAGGGUGCAAGCGUUGUCCGGAUUUAUUGGGUUUAAAGGGUGCGUAGGCGGGAAUUUAAGUCAGCGGUGAAAGUUCAGGGCUCAACCUUGAAAUUGCCAUUGAUACUGGAUUUCUUGAGUGUCGAUGGGGUACAUGGAAUUUAUGGUGUAGCGGUGAAAUGCAUAGAUACCAUAAGGAACACCGAUAGCGAAGGCAUUGUACUUAUCGAUAACUGACGCUGAGGCACGAAAGCGUGGGUAGCGAACAGGAUUAGAUACCCUGGUAGUCCACGCCGUAAACGAUGAUUACUCGCUGUUAUGCCCUUUGCGGUGUAGUGGCCAAGCGAAAGCGUUAAGUAAUCCACCUGGGGAGUACGCUCGCAAGGGUGAAA
Molecule: ribosomal RNA, 802 nt
Filed under: uncultured bacterium
Lineage: Bacteria
Description: bacterial SSU rRNA
Rfam family: Bacterial small subunit ribosomal RNA
Source: RNAcentral